AUUGUUGAGGAUAGUUUUAGCUAUCCUGUUUUUUUUUUUAUUCUGGCUUUGUUGUUUUAUGAGAUCCCAUUUGUCGAUUCUUGAUCUUAGAGCAUAAGCCAUUGGUGUUUUGUUCAGGUAAUUUUCUCCCAUGCCCAUGUGUUUGAGAUUCUUCCCUAGUUUUACUUCUAUUAGUUUGAGUGUAUCUGUUUUGAUGUGGAGGUUCUUGAUCCACUUGAAUUUAAACUUUGUGCAUGGUGAUAAAAAUGGAUUGAUCUGCAUUCUUCUACAUUGUGAUCUCCAGUUGAACCAGCAUCGUUUGCUGAAAAUCUUAUCUUUUUUUCCAUUGGAUGUUUUUGGCUUCUUUGUCAAAAAUCAAGUGACCAUAGGUGUGUGGGAGUCUGAGUUUCUUAAACAUCUAAUUUCUACUU
RNAcentral lists this long non-coding RNA (410 nucleotides) under Rattus norvegicus (Norway rat). RNAcentral describes it as "long non-coding RNA NONRATT002712". The record is from RNAcentral. Lineage: Eukaryota; Metazoa; Chordata; Mammalia; Rodentia; Muridae.